UACAGAGGGUGCAAGCGUUAUUCGGAAUUACUGGGCGUAAAGCGCAUGUAGGUGGGUUAAUAAGUCAGUUGUGAAAUCCCGGGGCUUAACCUCGGAAUGGCAAUUGAAACUAUGGAUCUUGAGUUUGGAAGAGGGUAGUGGAAUUCCUGGUGUAGAGGUGAAAUUCGUAGAUAUCAGGAGGAACACCUGAGGCGAAGGCGGCUACCUGGUCCGAGACUGACACUGAGAUGCGAGAGCGUGGGGAG
Molecule: ribosomal RNA, 245 nt
Filed under: uncultured bacterium
Lineage: Bacteria
Description: partial 16S ribosomal RNA
Rfam family: Bacterial small subunit ribosomal RNA
Source: RNAcentral